This is a long non-coding RNA of Corvus hawaiiensis (hawaiian crow), 3042 nucleotides long. RefSeq lists it as uncharacterized. Lineage: Eukaryota; Metazoa; Chordata; Aves; Passeriformes; Corvidae. The record is from RefSeq and is a predicted model, not a curated record. The transcript is spliced from 9 exons.
UGGAGACUGACCUGGAGCUCUGCCACACAGCUUUGCCAUUAGAGAGAAUCUCUUGCUGAGGGUGAGUUUGGGUCAGUGGUAAAGUUGCUCAAAGUUCUUGAUGCCAAAACCACCCUCAGUUGCCCUGAAGUAAAACCUUAAUCUUUAAAGACCUGAUGAAAUCACGUCAGAAGGGACACUUCUCCAUAGCCUGGAGCCCACCUAUGGAGCCUCCAGCCCCCUGUGGUCUCUGCAGAGGGUGGUGCUGCUGCUGCACUGCCUGGGAGCCGUCCCUCCCACGAUGUGGUGGCUGAGCACUCAAAGCCAAUUGCCUUGGAUAAUCCCGGUGAAGGGCUCAAUCCACACCUCGGCUGGAGCUGCCGCAGUUUUGAGGAGCCGGCGCUGUGCUGCUCACACGAUGGCGCCCCAUGAGGUGACAGAAAUGCCAUUGGCUAAUGAGUGCGAGCUGUACAAUGCAGGCGGCCACUUGUGGAGGAGAGCAAUUAAGAAUCGAUCAGAAGUCAUUUCACAGCAGUGGCCUCAGCACAGCUGUCUCCCAUCACACAGCUCUUGCUCCAUUUCUUAUGCCGGGGGCUCAGACUGAAGCAGCAGCUGAUGUCAGGUUUGGGAUGAUUUUUACUUUUCUGUGGAUAACAACCAAGGAAGAGAAAUUUCCAAAGCUUGUCAAGUGUUGUUAGCCUAGAACCUGAAGUCAGCAACGAACAAAAACCCGAGUCAUCGAGAUUUGGCAGCUUGCUGGAGCUGGGAAUGACAAGUCGUGCAUUUUCAAGCUGAAGAGUUUUGGACAUGGGAAAUCUUGGUCCUGUUAAUCAUCCUUCUCCACACCUUUUCCAGCUUGGCUUGAUUGUCUUUAAACUGAGAGUAAUCAGAAUUGCAUCUCACAUUCAACAUAUUGGUAUUGCAUAGGUUGAUGCAUUGCACACUACAGCUUCUCAAAAUUUAGAGCAGAGAUUAAUUUGUUAUUGCAAAGAUUAUGUAAAGGCAUGACCCAUGUCCCAUUGAUGCAAAUAUCAGAACUCCAUAGACUUCAAUGAAACCAGAAGUGGAUUUGGAGGUUGCUGAUAAGAAUUAGGAAAAAAAUCAUCGUUAAAAUCUGAAAACAGUCAUGCAGGACAAAGCAAGGUAAGAGGAUGGAUAAUGCUCAAAGAAAACGAAAGUUGCUGUAAAUCCUACAUUUAUCUUCUCCAUGUAGGUAAGUAUUAACAAGAAAAGUUAUCUGUAAAAUUACCUACAUUGUGCCUUUGCAUGCAAAAAACCCGUCUAAAUCUGCAGUAGAUGCAAUGGCACCCUUCCAUAGCCUACAGCUUCAAGAUUUGUUUAUAUUUGAUGGAAUAACCAUUCAGAUGUUGUUCAUUUUUAAUGCUGUUUUAUAAACUGUAAUGAGCAAUCAUAGUAAUAAAAUGAGGAUAUAUGAAAAAACAAAUGUCCAUGCUAACCAUAAACCCAGACUAUAUCUGCAGUAUUUAGGUGAGAGCUUAUUCCCAUUUAUUUGUUCCCGAUACACUUGAAUGCUUUUUACAAUGAACAGCACAACAACUGCAGUCCACGAUGACAGACUGGCCUCCAGGUUUGGCCCUUUAUCUAGGAUAGGAAUGAAAUCUGCUGAAAUGCAUCUGGCUUGUUUGUUAGCAGAAGAGCUCCUAAAUGAGGUUUCUGUUACCAGCACAAUGUGGAGGGGUAAGAGGGAAAAGGAAAAGAGGUACAGGAAAGGAUGUGUGAACAGAGUACAUAAAGGUGGCUUCAGGCUGUACCUGGUGUAGUUAAUGGAUAGUACAAGGAAAGGUACUGGGAAAAUUGACCUCAGAAGAAGUCAGUCUCUGUGAUAUGGAGUGUAAGCUCAGCAGGAUCAUUAUGGGCCUAAAAGACCAAGCUUUUCUAGCCAACAAGGCAAGCCUAAGAGCAUGUGAAAGGGGCUGUCAGCAUCUAAGUCAGUCUAACGAGCAGUUGCCUUCCAGAGCAAGGCUUAGAAAGCCUGUCAGAGAGGGAGCCUGAUGACAUUGGUCUCAAGUGGAAAACACAUGGCAAUACUGCACCAAAGAAAAGUGACAUCUCCUUCCACCACGGGAUAAUAAAGACAGUCUUUGCCAUGGACCUACACCUUAAGAGAGGGUCGUCAGCACUUGGAGGACUGAACCAGCACAGGGUAGUGCAGGCAUUUGAACUUCUCUCCAUUGAUUUCCACUUAAUGGAAUUUAUUUUUUUCAAAGAUGACACAAAAUGUCUUUGGUCUUGUUGAGCAUAUUUAUUUUGCUGAGAAUGGAUUGGUGGUGAACUCUUCCUUCUCCACUUUUCCUCGGCAAGCUAGAAACUCUAUAAAUAGACAGCCUUUCCUUCAUUCUUUUCUAUACUUCCCUUGUACAGGUAAAGUUAUAUAACCGGGGCAUGGAGCAUGUUCUAUACAAAAUCUAAUUUUGCAGAAUUGUCCCUGUUGAUGUGGUUUCCCUAUGAAACAUCUACCUCCGUGAGGGUGGGAAGUGUUGCCGAACAGGUUUUCGUAUUCUUAUUGCCUUCUCUGGAUACUUUUUGGUAAUUUCUUAUGUGACUGAUUAAAGCAAGUUGCUAUUCAAUGUCUCAUUGUACAGUACAAAGGGGAUAUUACCUGUUCUAGUGAGAAAGCUGUACUGGGAAAUUUAAAUCAGGCUGGAAGAGAAAUCAAUGCAUAUUUUCAACUUGGUCCCUCUGUCAGACCUUAUCUGUCAUUAUUACUCACAUUUAAACUGCAGAGGCAUUUUUUUGCAGCCACUUAGCUGAGUGCACCUUAGUAGUCUCCAUGGCCUUACCUCAGUAGCCUCGCCAGCCAGGUUGUGUGGGAUGGGAUUCUGUCACGUCUCCUCUGGCAAGAGCAGCUGUACUGCUGGGAAAGGGGUCUUCAGGAGCUUCCUGUCCUAUCAACCUGAUCCAAACGUGAGGAGAGGUUGGCCUAGGAGUUUCAGCACCCACCUUGGGCAUUUUGAGCCUGAGCUGGGAAGACACGGGUGAGUGGGAUGCAAUGCUGUGAGAGCGUCCCAGUGCUGUGAGGGGCAGCUAUGAGGGGGUCCCAGU